This is an RNA transcript of Cryptomeria japonica (Japanese cedar), 2170 nucleotides long. It is a transcript of the gene named probable RNA methyltransferase At5g51130, with no coding region annotated. The record is from RefSeq and is a predicted model, not a curated record. NCBI's taxonomy places the organism in Eukaryota, Viridiplantae, Streptophyta, Pinopsida, Cupressales, Cupressaceae. The transcript is spliced from 4 exons.
AGUCCUUCACGGGAUUCAUUGAAAAAGCAUUCACACAAUGCGUACGUGUCGUUUCGAGCAUUCAUCACAUUUUUGAUCACUUUUACUUUUAUAUCCUUUCGUAACACACACAGUUUCAGCGCAGAAAAGGAUUUUCCAACGCUGCCGCAGCCGCGGAGCCUGCAAAAGGAACACAAACAGUUUCACUGCACAAGAAGAUUUUCCAACGUCACCGCCACAGCAGAGCUUGCAAAAAGGUGAAAUUGCAAUAGAAAAUAACACAGCCGGGAUAAUGGAGAAUAGACCAAAUAAAAACAAACGGAAAGAUGAAGGAAAAAAUUCAUCUAGUCAAUUGACAGAGUAUAAGAAGAAGAGAUUUUUUUAUGUUUAUGGCAACUACCACAGUUACUAUAAUUACCGUAUUGAUCAGGCUUUGGAUGAAGACCCAAGGAUGAAGGUCUUAAGGAAGGAGUGGUUUGAAGGCAAGAACUGCCUAGAUAUUGGCUGCAAUGAGGGUUUCAUCACAAUCAGCAUUGCACAAAAGUUUGCAUGCAAAAGUAUUGUCGGCAUAGAUAUUGAUGACAGGCUUAUUGGAAAAGCAAGAAGUCACCUCAAAACAAUUGCUGGUGUUAAGGAAGCCAUUGAAAGAAAUAAACAAUCUGCAGAAGAAAAGUGCAAAGUAAAUGCAGAUGAAGGCGAAGAUAUAAACCUGAGAGAACAGUCAUAUGAAGGUGAUGAUAGAAUUAAUGAAUUGGAAAGCCUAGACAGAAGGGAGCAAUCGUAUGAAGAUGAUCACAGAGAAAAUAGAUUUCAGGUUAUUGGUAGUAUGAAGCAGUUUUCCAAAGUUGAAGAAAGUACAAAUAAUUCGGAAAUCAUAUGCAAGAAAUCUGUCAGAGAUAGAAUAAGUGUGUUAUCACGGGACUGUGUAUCAGAUAAUGUGGAAGGAAGAGUCGGAGAUCAGUGUUUGCUUGAAAGAGUUUGCUUCAGAACUGAAAACUUCAUUCAGGAAUCCUAUUCUGAGUUUGAUGCAAUGUAUGAUACAGUGCUCUGCUUAAGUGUUACCAAAUGGGUCCACCUAAAUUGGGGCGAUACAGGUUUAAUUGAUCUAUUUGCAAAGAUUUGGCAAGUUCUUAGGCCAGGUGGGAUUUUGAUUUUAGAGCCUCAACCAUGGAAAUCCUAUGGAAAAAUGCACCUCGUCUCUGAGGCCGCAGCAGAGAAUUUCCACAAUAUUAUUUAUAGGCCACACACUUUUAGGGAUAUUCUACUUGAUAAGAUUGGUUUCAGAUCAAUGGAAAGAAUCAGUGCACAUGUACCGGAUAGUACAGCUGGAUUUAACAGGCCAAUUUAUAUGCUUGAAAAAUGAAUCAAAGGUUUUGACUGAAGUGUCAUGCUGCAGAAAAUCUCAUGUUAACUUUUUCCGAGAGUAAAAUCACAGGUUAGCAACUAGGGUAAGGCGUGCAUACUUAAGCCAGAGGCCAACAAAGACAUACUGCCUACGAGGAGAGAGAAAAGCACCAAGUAAAUCUCCACUUCAAAUGUUGGAUUAAAGACACGUUAUUUGGAUAAUAUUUUUGUAUUAUUUUACAUUUGCAUGGAAGUGUAGGGGCAAGACCAAUAGUGGCCUAUGGGAUUGUAAAGAGCACACUAGAAAGUGACGUUGUGAGUGUCAAGACACCUCCAGUUAAGUAUACAUGAGAGAUGAAUGGAAUCAAGGUGAAUGAGAAAAUCUGUAUGAACGCAAGCAUAUUAGAGUCAAAGCCAAGCUCAAAUCCAUGACUUGGGAGUAAUGAGGAAGCUCAAGAAGAGUCUCACAAAGGAGGCAAAUCUUCUUGUUAUGAAGUAUUUCUGGCAUUGAAAAUUGCAAAUAAAAGUGUUAAUCUAUGGGGCAAGUGUAAGGGAACGUUUAGAUGUAUGAUACCUCAUGAGCCUAGUCUCAAAGGUAGGGGAGAGGGCCCAAUAAUUGUGUGAGCUAACUUUGCAAGCAUGUAGUGGUUACAUGGAAUAUUGUGGGACUUCCGUUUUAUUUUUUAAAUGUGAAAUGGGCUCUUACCUAUUUACAACUAAGAUUUGUGGGUGUGACUCAUCACACAAUUUGUCAUAUUAGCAGGUCUUGUGUUAAGUGUCCUAAAAGUGAUUUUUUAAAGAUUCAACCAAAACUUAAUCAUGGAAUCUCUAGUACUCGAACAUUAAA